AGAAUCAACGCUGGCGGCGUGCCUAACACAUGCAAGUCGCACGAGAAAGGGACUUCGGUCCUGAGUACAGUGGCGCACGGGUGAGUAACACGUGAAUAAUCUACCUCCGAGUGGGGAAUAAACUGAGAGAAAUCUUAGCUAAUACCGCAUAACACUUACGAGUCAAAGCAGCAAUGCGCUUAGAGAGGAGUUCGCGGCAGAUUAGUUAGUUGCGGGUAAUGGCCCACCAAGACGAUGAUCUGUA
This 244-nucleotide ribosomal RNA is filed under the name uncultured bacterium. RNAcentral describes it as "partial small subunit ribosomal RNA". It matches the Rfam family "Bacterial small subunit ribosomal RNA", at positions 26 to 285 of the family's 1533-position model. The record is from RNAcentral.